This 454-nucleotide long non-coding RNA is filed under the name Cyanistes caeruleus (blue tit). Its description in RNAcentral is "lncRNA (ENSCCEG00000002968.1)". The record is from RNAcentral. Lineage: Eukaryota; Metazoa; Chordata; Aves; Passeriformes; Paridae.
GAAUGCUAGUGAGGACAAGGAUACAUCCACCCUAUAGAGAUUCUGUGUGAGAAAAGUAAUGUAAACCUUGAACCUGAGAAUUUGGAACUAUUAAGUCAUGAGAGUACCACAACAGAAUGAAUGUGGAAGUGGUCAGCAGAAUGAAGAAUUCACAUAGACCAAAAUAAAACAACAACAAGAAAGAAAGAAGACGAAGAUCAAUAAAAUUCAAACCCAGCUGGAAGAAGCAUAUCUGGAGGGCUCCUCUUUGUAGAAGAGAAUUUUCAGUCUCAAGGAACUUCUGAUUAAUUCAUUGCAUCUGUUCCUUCCAUGUAUAGUCUCCAAAGAUGACUAUCCCAUUGCUGAGUUGAUGAACACUUAGUAGCGUACAAUGCAGAGUAUGAAUUUUGAAUUGUUAGCCAUUAUGGACCAUUGAAAACAUUAGACCAUGAAAAUAAAGCAUUUGAAGGAUUCA